UAGGGGAGAAAGAAACUAAAAAGAUCCAUAGUAACUGCGAGUGAACCGGGAAGAGCUCAGCGCUGAAUCUCCUGGCUGUAAUGGUCAGGCGAGGUGUAGCGUAUAGUGCGUUUCGUGCCAUUGAGCGGCUAAGCUUAAGUUCUCCUUGAUCGGAGUUCCUUAGAGGGUGCUAGGCCCGUUAAGCUUGGAUCUGCGCUUGAUGGUUGAAGCGUACUGUGAGUCGGGUUGUUUGGAAACACAGCCCUAAGCAGGUGGUAAACUCCACCUAAAGCUAAAUAAGACUACGAAUCCGAUAGCAAACAAGUACCGUGAGGGAAAGUUGAAAAGAACUCUGAAGAGAGAGUUAAAUAGUACGUGAAACUGGUUAGGUGGAAUCGGAUAGAGCAAUCGAAAGAUGGUUACAAUGAGUUGAUCGGGUGUUGGCUUCGGCUCAGCGCUCGGUUGAUGCACUUGUGGCUCGUUGCGCCGGCACGGCUGAUGGUGCCGUUGGAAGUGGGCUUAGAGGAGCUGCUCUUCGGAGGGGCAAACCUGAGUUCAUGGAAAACGCGUUGCUGUUAGUCGGAGUUGCGUUUGCACGGUACCGCGGUGAGUGCGCUAUGAACGUUGUUGUCGGGUUGGUGUCUUCGCGUGCGAGGGCCCUUUUCGAUGGCGCCGCUUAUGGUGUUAUGAUCCGUGGUGCUUGCCGGUGUACAAACUGAUUGUCACCUAUCCGUCCCGUCUUGAAACACGGACCAAGGAGUUUAUCGCAUAUGCGAGUUAUUGGGUGAUUAAAACCUAAUGGCGUAAUGAAAGUAAAGGUUUCGCUUGCGAAGCUGAUAUGUGAUCCGGGUGCCUUUCGAGGCUUCGGCGCAGCAUAGCCCCAUCUCUAUUGCUUGCAAUGGGGUGGAGGAAGAGCAUAUACGAUGAGACCCGAAAGAUGGUGAACUAUGCCUGGGCAGGAUGAAGCCGGAGGAAACUCUGGUGGAAGUCCGUAGCGGUUCUGACGUGCAAAUCGAUCGUCUGACCUGGGUAUAGGGGCGAAAGACUAAUCGAACCACCAAUACUGGGUCCUUC
Molecule: ribosomal RNA, 1053 nt
Filed under: Panagrellus redivivus
Lineage: Eukaryota; Metazoa; Nematoda; Chromadorea; Rhabditida; Panagrolaimidae
Description: eukaryotic LSU rRNA
Rfam family: Eukaryotic large subunit ribosomal RNA
Source: RNAcentral